Molecule: ribosomal RNA, 600 nt
Filed under: uncultured bacterium
Lineage: Bacteria
Description: bacterial SSU rRNA
Rfam family: Bacterial small subunit ribosomal RNA
Source: RNAcentral
AACUCAAAGGAAAUGACGGGGACCCGCACAAGCGGUGGAUGAUGUGGUUUAAUUCGAUGCAACGCGAAAAACCUUACCUACCCUUGACAUGUCAAGAAUUCUGCAGAGAUGUGGAAGUGCUCGAAAGAGAACUUGAACACAGGUGCUGCAUGGCAGUCGUCAGCUCGUGUCGUGAGAUGUUGGGUUAAGUCCCGCAACGAGCGCAACCCUUGUCAUUAGUUGCUACGCAAGAGCACUCUAAUGAGACUGCCGGUGACAAACCGGAGGAAGGUGGGGAUGACGUCAAGUCCUCAUGGCCCUUAUAGGUGGGGCUACACACGUCAUACAAUGGCUGGUACAAAGGGUUGCCAACCCGCGAGGGGGAGCUAAUCCCAUAAAACCAGUCGUAGUCCGGAUCGCAGUCUGCAACUCGACUGCGUGAAGUCGGAAUCGCUAGUAAUCGCGGAUCAGCUUGCCGCGGUGAAUACGUUCCCGGGUCUUGUACACACCGCCCGUCACACCAUGGGAGCGGGUUCUGCCAGAAGUAGUUAGCCUAACCGCAAGGAGGGCGAUUACCACGGCAGGGUUCGUGACUGGGGUGAAGUCGUAACAAGGUAACCA